UAAAGUUGUGCCACUAUUUGCUCC
Molecule: non-coding RNA, 24 nt
Filed under: Mus musculus (house mouse)
Lineage: Eukaryota; Metazoa; Chordata; Mammalia; Rodentia; Muridae
Source: RNAcentral